RNAcentral lists this ribosomal RNA (883 nucleotides) under Shigella sonnei. RNAcentral describes it as "partial 23S ribosomal RNA". It matches the Rfam family "Bacterial large subunit ribosomal RNA", at positions 296 to 1190 of the family's 2925-position model. The record is from RNAcentral. Lineage: Bacteria; Pseudomonadati; Pseudomonadota; Gammaproteobacteria; Enterobacterales; Enterobacteriaceae.
GCCCAGAGCCUGAAUCAGUGUGUGUGUUAGUGGAAGCGUCUGGAAAGGCGCGCGAUACAGGGUGACAGCCCCGUACACAAAAAUGCACAUAUUGUGAGCUCGAUGAGUAGGGCGGGACACGUGGUAUCCUGUCUGAAUAUGGGGGGCCCAUCCUCCAAGGCUAAAUACUCCUGACUGACCGAUAGUGAACCAGUACCGUGAGGGAAAGGCGAAAAGAACCCCGGCGAGGGGAGUGAAAAAGAACCUGAAACCGUGUACGUACAAGCAGUGGGAGCACGCUUAGGCGUGUGACUGCGUACCUUUUGUAUAAUGGGUCAGCGACUUAUAUUCUGUAGCAAGGUUAACCGAAUAGGGGAGCCGAAGGGAAACCGAGUCUUAACUGGGCGUUAAGUUGCAGGGUAUAGACCCGAAACCCGGUGAUCUAGCCAUGGGCAGGUUGAAGGUUGGGUAACACUAACUGGAGGACCGAACCGACUAAUGUUGAAAAAUUAGCGGAUGACUUGUGGCUGGGGGUGAAAGGCCAAUCAAACCGGGAGAUAGCUGGUUCUCCCCGAAAGCUAUUUAGGUAGCGCCUCGUGAAUUCAUCUCCGGGGGUAGAGCACUGUUUCGGCAAGGGGGUCAUCCCGACUUACCAACCCGAUGCAAACUGCGAAUACCGGAGAAUGUUAUCACGGGAGACACACGGCGGGUGCUAACGUCCGUCGUGAAGAGGGAAACAACCCAGACCGCCAGCUAAGGUCCCAAAGUCAUGGUUAAGUGGGAAACGAUGUGGGAAGGCCCAGACAGCCAGGAUGUUGGCUUAGAAGCAGCCAUCAUUUAAAGAAAGCGUAAUAGCUCACUGGUCGAGUCGGCCUGCGCGGAAGAUGUAACGGGGCUAAACCAU